UACGAAUGGAGCGAGCGUUGUUCGGAAUCACUGGGCGUAAAGCGUACGCAGGCGGUCUUGAAAGUUAGAAGUGAAAGCCCUGGGCUUAACCCAGGAAUUGCUUUUAAAACUCCAAGACUAGAAUACUGGAGAGGUUGGCGGAAUUCCGAGUGUAGAGGUGAAAUUCGCAGAUAUUCGGAGGAACACCAAUGGCGUAGGCAGCCAACUGGACAGUUAUUGACGCUCAUGUACGAAAGCGUGGGGAUCAAACAGG
RNAcentral lists this ribosomal RNA (253 nucleotides) under uncultured bacterium. RNAcentral describes it as "partial 16S ribosomal RNA". It matches the Rfam family "Bacterial small subunit ribosomal RNA", at positions 524 to 776 of the family's 1533-position model. The record is from RNAcentral.